This is a long non-coding RNA of Panicum virgatum (switchgrass), 1430 nucleotides long. RefSeq lists it as uncharacterized. NCBI's taxonomy places the organism in Eukaryota, Viridiplantae, Streptophyta, Magnoliopsida, Poales, Poaceae. The record is from RefSeq and is a predicted model, not a curated record. The transcript has 2 exons.
AGCAUUGUUACAGUUGCAAUCAAAGAAGCUUGAGGGCUUCAUCAAUGGGGACAUAACUGAACCCAAAGAUAAGUUGAGCAGUGAGUAGAAAAAUUGGAAUGCCACUAAUGCUUUAAAAGGUUACUUGGUUAUUUAAUUCUAUGACCCCGACAAUGCUGGUUCUGUUGACACUAUCACUUCUGCCUCAGAGAUAUGGAAGGCUCUUGCAAGCAUGUAUUCAUGUGUUGGGAAUGUGAUGCUAUUAGCAGAUACAGAUGAUAAGAUACAUUAUCUGAAACAGGGGGAGCGGACUUUGAUGGAUGAUGUUGCAGAACUGAAGCGACAGUGGGCUGACUUAGAUCAUUAUGAUCCUAUUGAAUUACCUCACCCAGAAUGUGUGGCUUGGGUGAAAAAGUGGGUAAAGAAAAAAAAAGGGUUCUUCAGUUUUUGAGGGGUAAAACCCAGGUUUUGAAGGAAGAUGUGCUGCAUUAUUCCAUCAAGCUAAUCUUCCUAGUCUUGAAGAAGCUAUUGCUGCUAUGGCACAGGAGGAGACAAGACUCAAGGUGAUAAAAGGUAACACCUUAAAUUCACCAAGUCCAGCUUAUGUGGUAGCAGGGUCCCAAGAGACUAGAAUCUGUUAUAAUUGUGGUGAAAAUGGGCAUUUGAUUCGUGAUUGCAGUCAGCCACAUAAACCAAAUCGUGGUAGGGGUCAGAGGCAGAGGUAUGCAGAGAGGUGGUACUAGCCGAGGAGGUGCUAGUCGUGGUGGAAGAGUAAGCUUUAGAGCUAAUCAUGCAGUGUGAGAUGGGUGUAAUGCAGAAUCAGUUGAAAUUUCACCAAAUGAGUUGGAUGAGUUCAAAAGGCGGAAGGAAAUCAUAAAGGAUUCUCAAUUGAACAAUCAAGAAACAACAUCCUUGAGUAAUUUUGUUGCUGAUGCGGUUCACUCAGACUCAGGUACAUUCAACCAAAACCACACAUUUGAUUGGAUAUUAGAUUCAGGUGCAUCGAGGCACGUCACGGGAAAGGAGGACGGGAAGAAAUCUUGGAGUUGGAACUUGGCAUGAUGGGCUCUGGUAUCUUUAUAAAAGCAAGACAAGAGAAGAAAUAUAUUUUGCUCUAUCAGCUAGUGAAGAUGAAGCUAAGGUGAUGUGUUGUUGCAUUGUCGUCUGGGACAUAUAUCUUUUAAUAUCGUGAGCAAAAUGUUUUCUCACGAAAUGUCUAAGGUGAAUAAAAGUAAGUUAAUGUGUGAUGCAUGUGAGUACAGGAAGCACACUAGAAGCUCAUAUGUGAGUAGGGGUUCAAGAAGUUUAUCAACUUUUAUAUUAAUCCAUUCAGAUGUGUGGACUUUCCCGUCACUGCUAUAAGUGGGGAAAAAUAUUUUGUUACUUUUAUUGAUUUUUAUUCUCCUAUGACAUGGGUAUAUUUAAUGAAGUAUAAAAGUGAGGUACUUGAA